This 67-nucleotide transfer RNA is filed under the name Marmota monax (woodchuck). Its description in RNAcentral is "tRNA.Ala". The record is from RNAcentral. Lineage: Eukaryota; Metazoa; Chordata; Mammalia; Rodentia; Sciuridae.
GGUUAUGGCUCAGAGGUAGGGUGCUUGCCUAGCAUGCAUGAGGCACUGGGUUUGAUCCUCAGCACCA